This 257-nucleotide ribosomal RNA is filed under the name uncultured bacterium. RNAcentral describes it as "partial 16S ribosomal RNA". It matches the Rfam family "Bacterial small subunit ribosomal RNA", at positions 524 to 776 of the family's 1533-position model. The record is from RNAcentral.
UACGUAGGGUGCAAGCGUUGUCCGGAAUUAUUGGGCGUAAAGAGCUCGUAGGCGGUCUGUCGCGUCUGCUGGUGAAACUCGGGGCUUAACCCCGGGCCUGCAGUGGGUACGGGCAGACUAGAGUGGCGGUAGGGGAGGUGUGGAAUUCCCGGUGUAGCGGUGAAAUGCGCAGGAUAUCGGGAGGAACACCAGUAGCGAAGGCGGCACUCUGGGCCGGGUACUGACGCUGAGGAGCGAAAGCGUGGGGAGCGAACAGG